This 25-nucleotide non-coding RNA is filed under the name Rattus norvegicus (Norway rat). The record is from RNAcentral. Lineage: Eukaryota; Metazoa; Chordata; Mammalia; Rodentia; Muridae.
GUCAGAAAGGAGGCAAAUUUGAUCC